GUCUUGUGAGACACGUGUAGACGUUUGCGUCUUCGUCUCUUUCUCUCGCUCCACGAAAUCACCCCGUUUCGCUUUCCCUUCCUCAACGACUCCGCAAAGCUCUACCUUUCCUCGACGAAUCCGUCUGUGUUUCUUCAUCUCUCAACGAUCGGUGUCUCUCUCUCUCGGUGGACUGGUCUCCGCCUCUCUCUCGACGGCUCACCUCGGCGUCUUCUCUCGGUGAAAGAUGGGACUCCAUUGAAGACACAAUCAGAAAUCCUCUGGAGAGAUAAUCGAUCCUCUGUCCAAACUCAAUAAAGAUAAGAUUUGCUCUUCUUGGCUUUUGAUUCUGAUAAUGGUUGAAUAUCGGUAAUAAAUGUUAUAGUUUGUGGUAGAUAAUGGUUGUGUUAUAGGUAAUAAAUUGAAGUAGAAAUCGAUGAAACUAUAGAAAGGAUCAAAUAAAGCUUCUGUUUGAUGUUCUUCCAGUCUCAUUGUUCUGUCUCUUCUGUGUCUUGAUAAAAAAAAUUUCUGUCUUUGUGUGGUCAGAUGGAUGCUUCAAGAGCUCCCGUUUGAUCUGUUCUGCCUUUCUGUCUUUACAUGAAUAGAUGAAAAAACAUGAGCAAGGUUCACGUUGGCAAAGGAGUUCAAUGCUUUACAGUCUACUCUGAUCCAGGGAUCUAUGAGCUAAGUUGAUCUGAUUUGACAAGGAGUAAUCAGUACUUCAAGCUCACCACAUCACCGUCUCUAUUAGAUUCACGCAACAUACCACCAUGGUCUAUAUUGCAGAGACCAUUAAUCCAUUACCAACGGAGGUCUUCAUGUUCCGCUUUUAGGAUGAGAUAUGGUGGUACUACCAAACACAGACACAUACUUACCAGGUUGUGUCUUCCUAAACGCUACAUCAGGCACAUAUUUCUACUUUGACACACAGAGCGUUUUUGAAGCGUAAAAUCCAAACUCUCCAACUUUAUCUUUUAACCAAAUUCGUUUCUCCUGCUUAAAUUUUUUGAUUGAAACAAGAAAUGUUCCCAAGAUGUCUCAACUUCCUCAAGUUCAAAGGUAUAAUAAUUUUUUUUUUUAAGAACCCGAAAAUAAGAUACUUGCAAUGGAGGGGGAAAAAGUCUCAAGUUUCUUA
Molecule: long non-coding RNA, 1114 nt
Organism: Brassica oleracea var. oleracea
Lineage: Eukaryota; Viridiplantae; Streptophyta; Magnoliopsida; Brassicales; Brassicaceae
Exons: 4
Source: RefSeq, a predicted model, not a curated record